Molecule: unclassified non-coding RNA, 263 nt
Filed under: plant metagenome
Description: partial contains small subunit ribosomal RNA, internal transcribed spacer 1, and 5.8S ribosomal RNA
Source: RNAcentral
UUUCCGUAGGCGAACCUGCGGAAGGAUCAUUAUUGUAUAACCGAGGUGCAAGGGCUGUCGCUGACCCGAAAGGUCGUGCACGCCCGAGUGCCCUCACACACAUCCAUCUCACCCCUAUGUGCACCACCGCGUGGGUCCCCCUUUGGCUUGUUCGGAGGGGGGCUUACGUUUUCACACAAACUUUGUAUGCAGUGUAGAAUGUAUUUUUUGUUUUUGCGAUCACGCAAUCAAUACAACUUUCAACAACGGAUCUCUUGGCUCUC